CUCAAGGAAUAAUGCACGAGGGCGUUGUUGUCAUCUCCCACUCCAUGACUUUCACAAGAUACAGUAGAAGGCAUUGGAAGUAUUUUAUGGUGUUCCGAUUACUGUGAUCAAAAGCUUAAGCAGAUAAAAAACAGCCUGCGCACGCUUCACAGGCUGAUGUCUCCAGGCGCUGUUUCUGUCUUGUCUGACCCACAUGAACAAAGAAUUAAACCUAAGCGAUUCAGAUAUUAGAUGAGGCCAGAACAGACAAAAGUAGUAUUAAAUAAUAAAUUAAAAAAUAAAAUAAAAUUUUUACAGUCUAACCUUAAAAGCUGGUGUAAUUUCACUAGCUAUUUCUGAAAUGGAAGUCAAAAGCAAUGAAUAAGUAAUUUCAAUGGCUAUAUGGAUUUCAGUCACAGCAUGUAUUUUUCUCCUGAAGUAGCAUACACGUGUUUCUAAAUAUGCUCCUGUUUAGAUUCUAGGUUUCAGUUUUCUGUUUUGGAAAUGUGCACUGUCAAGUUACUUUAUAGCUAAGAAGCCAAGUCAGCAAAUCCUUUUGUGAAACUGAAACUCAGACAAUGAUUCCAGCAAAGUGCUGAGCUGAUUAAUUAGUGUGGCAGUGCAGGAGGGACUACCGUGCUGGCAAAGAAUAAGAUGUAAGGCCAGAUGCCACUGUCAGACCUGCACUAUGAUACUCUGAAAUGUAUUAUAUUAAGAUGUGUCAAUGUACUCAAUUACUUCUGCAAUAAAUUGAGACCAUGAGCAAUAAUUCCAUUUUUGAAAAAAAAAAAAAAAAGGCAGCUCAUAAAAAGGGUCACAUUUGAAAAAAAAAAAUUGGCCAAGCUGGCAAAGCAUUUUUUCAUCAAAUGCCAUCUUAAAGUGAACAUUGAUUACUGUUCCAGAUACACAGGCAGAAAAACAUGCGGAGGUUUUGCUGAAAUGACCCAAGAUCAUUUGUCCCAACUCUGGGGAAAGGGCCCUUCCUGCAGGGGAGCAGCAGCAAAUAGCCUGGGAAAGGCCACGACUUCAGCCAUGCAGCUCCUUGCUACGGGGAAGUAGCAAGGAAGCUCCCCCAAGAUGCACUGGUGAUGGUCUCCUGUGCUCAAGAAAGAAUCACUUCAGCUGGUACAGAGAAGGGACACCAAGAAAACUGGGAGCCCAUUUUACAAGGGCAGACUUUAAAAGUUUGACUCAUUUACUCCAGCAAGAUCAUGAUCUCUAAGUGCACCUUGGGGACGGCCAGAAAAUGGGAGAACAGAUGGGGGACAUCAGUGAAGGAGAAGUGCUACUUAAGCUAAUAGACAAUGCUGGCUUAAGAACAAAUGGCUAAUAAUUGGCCAUAAAUAAAUUUAGGGUAAGAGUCAGAAUAAAAUUCCCAGCCUUCAUAGGAUCCAGCUCUGGAAGAGCCCCUCUAAGAGUGGUAUAGGCUAAAACUCCACAGUUAAUGAAAGAACUUUUGAAAAGGAUGCUCGAUGUACUGUGUUUGGAAUAGGAAACACCACUAGCACAUCCAAGGCACCUUCAACUCACACUCUGACAUGUGUAGUACACUUAGAAGGAUCUGUUGCAGUUACAUCGCAAAGCAGUGUUGAAUUUAAAUGAUUACCUACUCCAGAAAGAUAAAACAGCGCUCCCGACCUUCAUCAGAGGGUCUCUGCGCUUCUUCCAACUGAAUGGCAGCUACAGCUCUGGGGAACUUUAUAUGGAUUUUCAGCAGUCCCUGGCAGACUUUUGGUCUGUGUGCCAAUUACUGGCUUCCAAAAUUUCACCUGAGAUUUAAAACUGCACACAAAGCCAGAUCUGUCCCCAAACCCCUUUCAACACGAAUAUACUGAGAUGUUUACUUGACAUUGUCAAACAAUUUGAAACUUCAGGCCCCUGAGAUGAGCAAAUGGGCUCAGUUUCUUUUUAACCGCUUUAUUUCAUCAUGUCUAAGCAAACAUAACAAACCGGGGAAAUGCUUAUCUGAGACGUGAGACAGGCUGAGGCAUGUGUGCAAUGUGACAGAAAAGUGAAGUCUUCCAUUUGAAGAAGGAAAUAAUCAGAACAAGCAGCAACUGAGGACCAGACACUUUUGAGAGGCUCUGGCUCAUGAAAAUGAGUUGCCAGCAGGAAGCUGCUCCAAAACACCUCCAGAAGUCUGAGCUAUUUCACCACUGCCAUAGGCCAAAUUCUAGAAGCGCUCAACUCAUAGAUAUAACUUCAAUUAAAUGACUCACAGAAACCAAGUGAAUUACGUGCACAGUGUUUUCUGGAUCAGAUCCUAAGGCUACAAUCAGUUUCUACUGAGAAGCCCUUUUUAGUUCAAUAUGUUCUGUUUGGAAAAUUGAUUUUACAUAAAUACUGCUUGAAUUAUACCAGCAACAAAGGAGAUUCUGCAGAAUAUGAAGAAAAUCCAUCACACUGCUUUUUAGUUAAAGUUGCUCAUGGGCACUUUCCCUGUUGCCAGUGCUUCUGUGUUCCUUCCCCAGCUUUGCAAUGUGCUCCAGCGAUCCCGAGUGCAUCCUCUAUUCCCUUCAGAAGCACCUACCUGCUCCUGGCAUGAACAUGCUGCACAGACUGCCACAGCUCCUCUGUGCUCUGAGAUUUAUGGAAGACAUCCCUGUUGGUGACUACGCCAAGUCACCAUUUUUCUUCUGGCUUUGAGAGCAACCCUUCUACAAACUAUGUGCAGCAAAUCUGGUGUGUCUUCAUCAUUAUUUAAUGUAAUCGAUUGUUAACGACGUGCUUCACUGAGUAGUGGAGGGAAAAGUAAGUGAAAAGAAACCCAACAGAUAAAAAGAGCAUGACUCAGAGCCUUGCACGAAAAGUAAAUUCAGAUUUCAGCGUACAGCUUCUGGAAGUUUUAAAUUAUAAUGCAAGCUCUUCUUAACCACUUCCCCUCUUUCGUUUUCUUUUCUAGUAUGAGUUCCAGAGGCAGAAAUAGAUUAGGGAAAAACCUGUAGUUAAUUUCUUCUCUUUAUUGUGAUGUUUAUCCUGACUAUUCAUUCUUUCAUGCUGUUUUGCUGAAGAGUUUUACAUUGUUAAUGAAAUGCUUGUUUGCUUGGAAAAAAAAAAAAAGGAAAAAGAAAUAAAGAACCACUAGAUACCAAAUGGAUUGGCCUUAUUGAAAGAAUAAUGUAAAAGUGAAAGGUCUAUAAAAUCACUAACUGAAACUGCUGUAAUUUGAUUUCAGUGUGUUUCUUUUGACAUCCUUCUAAGUGUGUCAUAAGGAACAUCAGGUCUACCCAUAUCAAUCCCAGUAUUAGACUUUCCUCCAGCAUCUGGAGUUUCUGCUACUUUAUCCUAGGUGCUCUGUGCCAAAUGUGCUAGGCUCCCACUGUCACUGAGGAGACAAGGACACUGGGGAAAAGUAGGGCUACUCAUCAGUAGCUGCUUUUUGUUCUGAAAUUCAUCAUCCCCAGGCACAUGUCAAACAUGAGACUUUCACGUGCGCAAGCUGACAUGCUGUAGACCUCUUGUUUCCAGCAGACUGCACAGGCAGGGGUGCAGCACAUCUAGUAUGUGGUAGAAUAGGUGGAAUCAGAUCUUUCCUGUAACAAGCUGUACGUUUUGAAUUGAAUUUUGCAGUAUCACAAGGGACUGAGGGGAAUGUGCAUGUACUGGAAAUGUGUAAAUUGACAAUGUAUGUUGGAUUACCAGCAAAUAGACUGUAGUGCAGUGGAUGACUCCAAACAAUCUAAAAGGAGUUCUGAAAUCAAGAGAAAUGCCUAGACUUGCUAUAUUGAUGCUUGUCAAGUGCCUGAACAGCAGCAAGUGGUCUAGCAAA
This is a non-coding RNA of Anas platyrhynchos (mallard), 3748 nucleotides long. The record is from RefSeq and is a predicted model, not a curated record. Lineage: Eukaryota; Metazoa; Chordata; Aves; Anseriformes; Anatidae.